AGGCCUGGAGAGAGAGAGGCAGGGUCUGAUUUGCAGCCUCAGUGGCAGCUGUUGAUCAGGCGUUGCCUCUCUCUUUCUCUCCA
This is a non-coding RNA of Myotis brandtii (Brandt's bat), 83 nucleotides long. NCBI's taxonomy places the organism in Eukaryota, Metazoa, Chordata, Mammalia, Chiroptera, Vespertilionidae. The record is from Rfam.